RNAcentral lists this ribosomal RNA (468 nucleotides) under uncultured bacterium. RNAcentral's name for it is "partial 16S ribosomal RNA". It matches the Rfam family "Bacterial small subunit ribosomal RNA", at positions 28 to 507 of the family's 1533-position model. The record is from RNAcentral.
GACGAACGCUGGCGGCGCGCCUAACACAUGCAAGUCGAACGGAGCUGAGAGAAGCUUGCUUUUCUUAGCUUAGUGGCGAACGGGUGAGUAACGCGUGAGUAACCUGCCCUGGAGUGGGGGACAACAGUUGGAAACGACUGCUAAUACCGCAUAAGCCCACGAUCCGGCAUCGGAUUGAGGGAAAAGGAUUUAUUCGCUUCAGGAUGGACUCGCGUCCAAUUAGCUAGUUGGUGAGGAAACGGCCCACCAAGGCGACGAUUGGUAGCCGGACUGAGAGGUUGAGCGGCCACAUUGGGACUGAGACACGGCCCAGACUCCUACGGGAGGCAGCAGUGGGGGAUAUUGCACAAUGGGGGAAACCCUGAUGCAGCGACGCCGCGUGGAGGAAGAAGGUUUUCGGAUUGUAAACUCCUGUCGUUAGGGACGAUAAUGACGGUACCUAACAAGAAAGCACCGGCUAACUACGUG